RNAcentral lists this ribosomal RNA (431 nucleotides) under uncultured bacterium. RNAcentral's name for it is "partial 16S ribosomal RNA". It matches the Rfam family "Bacterial small subunit ribosomal RNA", at positions 29 to 507 of the family's 1533-position model. The record is from RNAcentral.
AACGAACGCUGGCGGCAGGCUUAAUACAUGCAAGUCGAACGCCCCGCAAGGGGAGUGGCGCACGGGUGAGUAACGCGUGGAUAUCUGCCUUUUGGUUCGGAAUAACCCCGGGAAACUGGGGCUAAUACCGGAUGGUUCCUACGGGAUAAAGAUUUAUCGCCAAAAGAUGAGUCCGCGUACGAUUAGCUAGUUGGUGAGGUAAUGGCUCACCAAGGCGACGAUCGUUAGCUGGUCUGAGAGGACGAUCAGCCACACUGGGACUGAGACACGGCCCAGACUCCUACGGGAGGCAGCAGUGGGGAAUAUUGGACAAUGGGGGCAACCCUGAUCCAGCCAUGCCGCGUGAGUGAUGAAGGCCUUCGGGUUGUAAAGCUCUUUUGGCGGGGACGAUGAUGACGGUACCCGCAGAAUAAGCCCCGGCUAACUUCGUG